RNAcentral lists this long non-coding RNA (214 nucleotides) under Capsicum annuum. RNAcentral describes it as "long non-coding RNA (CANN_LNC015755)". Lineage: Eukaryota; Viridiplantae; Streptophyta; Magnoliopsida; Solanales; Solanaceae. The record is from RNAcentral.
AACACAUACCUUCUGCAUGAAUUCCAGGAGAAGAAAACAGGAAUGGAUAUUUAGACUUCAUGGCCUCUUCCGCUUCCCAAUUAGUGUCUUCCACCUUGUGGUUCCUCUAUAGAACCUUAACUGGAGGUACAUCCUUGGUCCACAACCAAUGAACCUGAUGAUCUAAGAUCUCAACCGGUACCUCCUCAUAAAAUAAGGAAUCCAAGAUACCCAA